CCUAAGGUAGCGAAAUUCCUUGUCGGGUAAGUUCCGACCCGCACGAAAGGCGUAAUGAUUUGAGCGCUGUCUCAACAAUGCACCCGGUGAAAUUGAAAUACCAGUGAAGAUGCUGGUUACCUGCGCCAGGACGGAAAGACCCCAUGGAGCUUUACUCCAGUUUGAUACUGGGAUUCGGUAUUGCAUGUACAGGAUAGGUGGGAGGCUUUGAAACAUGGACGCCAGUCUGUGUGGAGCCAAUGUUGGGAUACCACCCUUGCGAUAUUGGGUUUCUAACCUGCGCCCGUGACCCGGGCGGGGGACAAUGUCAGGCGGGGAGUUUGACUGGGGCGGUCGCCUCCGAAAGGGUAUCGGAGGCGCUCAAAGGUUCCCUCAGGAUGGUUGGAAACCAUCCAAAGAGUGCAAAGGCAUAAGGGAGCUUGACUGCGACACCGACGGGUGGAGCAGGUACGAAAGUAGGACUUAGUGAUCCGGUGGUAUGAAAGUGGGAUUGCCAUCGCUCAACGGAUAAAAGCUACCCUGGGGAUAACAGGCUUAUCACUCCCAAGAGUUCACAUCGACGGAGUGGUUUGGCACCUCGAUGUCGGCUCAUCGCAUCCUGGGGCUGUAGCAGGUCCCAAGGGUUGGGCUGUUCGCCCAUUAAAGCGGUACGCGAGCUGGGUUCAGAACGUCGUGAGACAGUUCGGUCCCUAUCCGGCGCGGGCGUAGGAUAUCUGAGAGGAGCUGUCCUUAGUACGAGAGGACCGGGAUGGACAGACCGCUGGUGUACCUGUUGGCCUACCAAGGCCAUGGCAGGGUAGCCAAGUCUGGACGGGAUAAACGCUGAAGGCAUCUAAGCGUGAAGCCCCCCUCAAGAUGAGAUAUCCCAUCGCGAAAGCGAGUAAGACCCCUUGAAGACGACGAGGUAGAUAGGUUAGAGGUGGAAGUGCAGUAAUGUACGGAGCUGACUAAUACUAAUCGGUCGAGGGCUUAUCCAG
Molecule: ribosomal RNA, 977 nt
Filed under: human gut metagenome
Description: bacterial LSU rRNA
Rfam family: Bacterial large subunit ribosomal RNA
Source: RNAcentral